Molecule: ribosomal RNA, 468 nt
Filed under: uncultured bacterium
Lineage: Bacteria
Description: partial 16S ribosomal RNA
Rfam family: Bacterial small subunit ribosomal RNA
Source: RNAcentral
GACGAACGCUGGCGGCGUGCUUAACACAUGCAAGUCGAACGGAAAGGCCCUGCUUUUGUGGGGUGCUCGAGUGGCGAACGGGUGAGUAACACGUGAGUAACCUGCCCUUGACUUUGGGAUAACUUCAGGAAACUGGGGCUAAUACCGGAUAGGAGCUCCUGCUGCAUGGUGGGGGUUGGAAAGUUUCGGCGGUUGGGGAUGGACUCGCGGCUUAUCAGCUUGUUGGUGGGGUAGUGGCUUACCAAGGCUUUGACGGGUAGCCGGCCUGAGAGGGUGACCGGCCACAUUGGGACUGAGAUACGGCCCAGACUCAUACGGGAGGGAGCAGUGGGGAAUAUUGCACAAUGGGCGGAAGCCUGAUGCAGCAACGCCGCGUGCGGGAUGACGGCCUUCGGGUUGUAAACCGCUUUCGCCUGUGACGAAGCGUGAGUGACGGUAAUGGGUAAAGAAGCACCGGCUAACUACGUG